This 360-nucleotide unclassified non-coding RNA is filed under the name uncultured fungus. RNAcentral describes it as "partial contains small subunit ribosomal RNA, internal transcribed spacer 1, and 5.8S ribosomal RNA". The stretch from base 1 to 73 matches the Rfam family "Eukaryotic small subunit ribosomal RNA", at positions 1759 to 1831 of the family's 1831-position model. The record is from RNAcentral. Lineage: Eukaryota; Fungi.
CCAAACUUGGUCAUUUAGAGGAAGUAAAAGUCGUAACAAGGUUUCCGUAGGUGAACCUGCGGAAGGAUCAUUACAAAAAAAAAAAGAUUCUUUAUGGAUUUUUAUUUAAAUCCAUAAUAGACCUUAUGUGCAAUUAUUGAAAAAAAAGGUUUUUUCAAUCUUCUGUGGGAGGGAGAAGUGGGGGAAGGGAGGAAAAAAUCCUAACCCUAACCCUCCCAGAGGGGAAAGGAAAAUAAUUCUUUUUAUAUAUAUAUACACAUAAUCUCAUUGUAAUUAUUAUUAUUAUUAUAUAUAUAAUAUUAAAAAAAAAAAACUUUCAACAACGGAUCUCUUGGCUCUCGCAUCGAUGAAGAACGCAGC